CCUACGGGAGGCAGCAGUUAGGAAUCUUCCGCAAUGGGCGCAAGCCUGACGGAGCGACGCCGCUUGGAGGAGGAAGCCCUUCGGGGUGUAAACUCCUGAACCCGGGACGAAACCCCCGAUGAGGGGACUGACGGUACCGGGGUAAUAGCGCCGGCCAACUCCGUGCCAGCAGCCGCGGUAAUACGGAGGGCGCGAGCGUUACCCGGAUUUACUGGGCGUAAAGGGCGUGUAGGCGGCUUGGGGCGUCCCAUGUGAAAGGCCACGGCUCAACCGUGGAGGAGCGUGGGAUACGCUCAGGCUAGACGGUGGGAGAGGGUGGUGGAAUUCCCGGAGUAGCGGUGAAAUGCGCAGAUACCGGGAGGAACGCCGAUGGCGAAGGCAGCCACCUGGUCCACUCGUGACGCUGAGGCGCGAAAGCGUGGGGAGCAAACCGGAUUAGAUACCCGGGUAGUCCACGCCCUAAACGAUGCGCGCUAGGUCUCUGGGUUAUCUGGGGGCCGAAGCUAACGCGUUAAGCGCGCCGCCUGGGGAGUACGGCCGCAAGGCUGAAACUCAAAGGAAUUGACGG
RNAcentral lists this ribosomal RNA (568 nucleotides) under uncultured bacterium. RNAcentral describes it as "bacterial SSU rRNA". It matches the Rfam family "Bacterial small subunit ribosomal RNA", at positions 338 to 916 of the family's 1533-position model. The record is from RNAcentral.